GCACUAAUGGUGUAAUGGUAACAUCUAAGCUUCCCAUGCGUGCAACGCGUUGUCUGCUUAGGCCCCUGGUUCGAUUCCUGGUUAGUGCA
This 89-nucleotide transfer RNA is filed under the name Xylaria intraflava. RNAcentral describes it as "tRNA-Gly". It matches the Rfam family "tRNA". From Rfam's summary of the family: Transfer RNA (tRNA) molecules are approximately 80 nucleotides in length. The record is from RNAcentral. Lineage: Eukaryota; Fungi; Ascomycota; Sordariomycetes; Xylariales; Xylariaceae.